Drosophila melanogaster (fruit fly) is the source of this 539-nucleotide non-coding RNA. The record is from Ensembl. NCBI's taxonomy places the organism in Eukaryota, Metazoa, Arthropoda, Insecta, Diptera, Drosophilidae.
ACGGAGGCAUAACAACUUAAUCAACUGCAGCUGAGCUUCCACAAAUCUCUCGAAGUAAAUGCAUUUUGGCCAAUAUUGAACAACGCCACUUCCACCUUUCGCUGGCUUGGCUUGGCCAAACCGAAAUCGUUAACUAAUUACACUUUAAUUAACGCAAUAAACGUAUAACAAAAGACGUAAGCAACAACAAAUGCCGGUGGAAAACUAACGAAGAAAAUAAAAACCAACCUCAAGAUGAAAACCACUGCUCAAAUUAUUAAAUUCGUUGCAUGAAGGAGAACCAAAGUCGAGAGCAUAGCCAGUCGCAAAAAAACGGGGAAGUUUAAUAACAUUUUGAAUAAUGAACGGCAACCAAAAAAAAUCGGUUGAAUGCAGCGCUAAAAAUGCGAAACGAAUGCACCGCAGCAGAAAUCCACAUGCCACACGCGAAAAGCGGAAAUGUCUUUGGAGCGAUGCCGCAUUUUGUUUUCCUUAAAGUGCCGCUUUAAAUAAAUAUUUAUACCCUGGAAAAAUGUAGUUUAUCGUUUUAAGAUUUACUU